CACAUCAGGAGAACAUUAAGUAUUUGUAGCAUGUGAUUCCCUUGUGUUUUAUGUCUGUGAAACAGCUGUUUGUCCCUUCACCAGGCAGCUCAAAGGCUGUUUUUAUUUCCACAGUGAUGGCAGCAGCAGCGUUCAGGAGCAGAGGACUGGCUGGUGUCAGAAACACCAACGUUUUAAUCCUCAUCUUUCUGCUGUCCCUGGUUUAUGUCACAAAUUCACUGAUGAAAGCAGAAUACAAGAAGAAACAAGCAAGUGAACUUGAUGAAAAACUACAGUUUCUUCAAGCUUUUGAAGAACUAAUACGGACAUCAUCAGUUUUUGAGGAUUUUCCUGCAAUGAUGGACGUAGUAAAUAGUUUGAGACGCUUUUACAAGAGAACCAUCAUCCCAUCAGACAGAGAGGAAGAAGAAAAAUGGUGAAAAUGGGGAAAUAAAAGAGGAAAACAUGAAAAUCAUCCUAAAACUCAACCAAAUAAACUUUAAAAGUUUCUAUAUAAUAAAUAAUAAUACAAAAUAAAUCAUAAAAUAAUGAUACAUCUCAUCAUUAAAUAUGAUGGUUUUCUGUAAGAGAAAUGACAGCUGUAUGUUGUUUAUGCUGUUCUCACUGGGAAGCAGCUUUUAUUGCAUUUUGCAUAACAGACUGAUAAUCGUGGUGUUAUUAAACUCAAACUUAGAAAAAAGUAGUUUCUACUAACUUUUGAUAAAAAACAAAAAAGAAACUUGUGUUCACAUAUUGUUAUCUUAAUGUGUUCCCUUUUAUUUGUGUCUUUUUGGUUAAUAUAGAUCUUCUAUUUAACUUUGAAUACUCAACAACAACAAUGAAGGCUAGCCCUGAAUACUUGUCCUAUAUUAAAUAAAUUAUA
This is a long non-coding RNA of Oreochromis aureus, 862 nucleotides long. NCBI's taxonomy places the organism in Eukaryota, Metazoa, Chordata, Actinopteri, Cichliformes, Cichlidae. The record is from Ensembl.